Molecule: long non-coding RNA, 13967 nt
Filed under: Vitis vinifera (wine grape)
Lineage: Eukaryota; Viridiplantae; Streptophyta; Magnoliopsida; Vitales; Vitaceae
Description: long non-coding RNA (VVIN_LNC002519)
Source: RNAcentral
CCUAAGGCACACAGGGCACAGGGCAUGGGUUAAAUACAUCUACCACGCAUUACGUUCACAAAUAUUAGCAGAACACCAGAGAUAAAUUAAAUGAGUAAUAUUGAUAAGAAAAAUAUAUGUGAUUGACUCGGUAUAGAUACCCAGUUGACUCGCUAAUCUUUUUCAUUAAACAAAUAGUUUCAAAUUUCAGUUCGAACUGAAUGAAAUGAAACGUGCGCUAGAAUUGAAAGUAUGAGAAAAACAAGGUUUCCAAAAGCCAGCUGCAAAACGGGAAAUUCAGGAUACAGGAAUAUCAGGAUCGUGCAAAACCCCAUAAAUUCAAAAAUUGAAAACCAUGAAACGAGAAAUCAGGUAAAUUAAUACUAUACCCUACAUAUUCACCCCUUAGAUGAUUGAAAUUUUAAUUUCGUUUCUUCAUUCAGAUUUCGCGUGAACCAAACGGCAGGUAGAAGUGCUCAAAGAAAAAAAAAUCAAAAUUGCCUCAGUCCGUUGCAUUCCUAAAAUAUCAGAACCUCAUCAACCACAAGAUUCCAAAUUCCCUUUCCUUUUUUCCAAACAGAAACUAAACUCUUUUCCAAAGUCAAAUCAAAAUUUACCUCUAAUGCCCGCAUUAUUUAGCAAAGCAUCGAUACGUCCAAAGGCCUCCCAAGCCUUCUGAACGGAGGCGCCGAUUGAGGAGCCAUCGCUGGUGACGUCAAGUUCGACUGCUACGGCUCGGAGAGGCGGAUCAGCGUUUGGAGGAAGGUUCGAGUGGGUGAGGUUGUUGAUCUCGUCGCAGAGAGACUUGAGUCGGUCAACUCGGCGGGCGGCCGCCACGAUCUUGCAGCCGGCUUUGGCGAGGUUGAGGCAGAACUCGCUGCCGAGACCCGAGGAAGCGCCGGUGACCAUGACCACCUUGCCCUCCAGGUCUUGCCAUGGCUCGAGGUGGUUCGCGACUUGGGACGCCAUCAAUGUGGUUGAGAGUCUCUAGAGAAAGUAGGCACCAGCUUUUAGAGGGAAAAAAAGUAAAGCAAAGAAAAUUUGAUAAGAUGAAAAUAAAUAAUAAAUAAUUAAAAGGGGAAAUAAACUCCUCUAUAUAUUCUAUUGCGACAUUGCGUGAUCAAAUUCCAUUUGUUUAUGUAUCGCCUUUGUAGUGAAUCUAGUGAUGAUGCCAUCGGAUUGUUUGCAGUGAAUUGUCGGAAUUGUUUUUAGUCAUUCUAAUAAUUAAAAAUAAAAAUUUUCAAAUAUUAAAAAUUAAAAAAUUUUAAAUAUUAAAAAUGUUAAAAACGCUUCCUAUAAUAAUUGUUAAAUAGACUCUAAGAGUAUAUUUGAAAGUAAUUCUAAAAAAUAUUUUUAGUAUUUUUAUUAAUGUGUUUUUAAGUAUUAAAAAUAUUAAAAAUACUUUCUAAAAUCACUAUCAAACUAAAAGUGCAUUUAAAAGUAAUUUUAAAAAAUAUUUUUAACAUUUCUAAUACUUAAAUAAUAAAAAACUUCAAGUGUUAAAAAAAUUUAAAACAUUCCAUAAAAUCACUACCAAAUAGAGUCUAAGUUUGUGAAGGGAUCAACACUUAAUAAGUCAUAUUUUAUUAUACAUCUUUCUAAAAUUAGUAUUAAGAAACCAAUUUUUCAGUGUCCAAUAAUUUUCCCUAUUGGUAUAAUUUUCUAAUUACGUAAAAUAAAAAUGGUCAUCAAGGGAAAAUAAUUUUUGAGAACAAACUUUUGCUUAUGAUUUUUUUAUUAUUACUCAAAAAGAGCAUAUUUUAUAUAAUAAUUAUCACGAAUUUCAUAUCUUUUGAGUAGUAACUAUACCUAAAACACUCAAUUAACAUGUUUUUACUUUUGCAAGAAUUACUAAAAAGUCUUAUGAAGUUUUGGGGUAAUUUCAAGGUAUGUUUUUUAUAAAUAGGUGACAAAAGAGAUGAAUCAAAUUAAAGAAAACAAAUAAAGUUGAUGAUGAUCCAAAUGCAUAAUGAAAGAGGCAAUCCAAUCAGUUUGGAUUGGGAUUUGGAGGUAGUUGAAGUGGAAUCAAAAUGAAGAAAUGAGAGAAAUUGCAAAAAGAAGUUGAAAAACCAUGUUUUUCAAUUUCACAUAAACACGAGAAAAAUUCGCACAGUCAUGCAAAUUGAAAUAGAAUGGACUUUGGCUGCAGCACACAAGGGGAAAAGUGAAAAUUGAUUUCGCAUGACCAUACGAAACGCUCCAAGAAGACGAAAAUGGUGCUGAUGGAUUUUCCACUUCGCACAAUCGUGCGAAAUUGUUGGAGCUCAUGCGAAAUUGUUGGAGCUCGUGCGAAAUUGCAUCUUUUCCAAAUUUCUUGAUGAAAAAGUCUCCGGAAGACCUUUUAGAUGAUGCCAAGUGUCCACUUGACCUUGGCCUAUAAAUAGAAACUUGAUUUACUCAUUUAGGGAUUUUUGAUACAUUUCCUAAUUGUAGAAUUUUCCAAAUUUCUUCUCUCUAUAUAAUUCUCUACUUUCCUUCAUUUUCUCUCAUUUUCUCGGUAGCCAAACAUGUCUUGUGAGAUCAAAUCUCAAAGUAUGAGUGGCUAAAUCUUGUUUUUCUUGGAAGAGAAAGGAUAUAGAGAUAAGAUCUAUGGUGAAUUAGAGAAAUGAGAUUAAAUUGCAAAGGUAAUUUGAUCCAAUUGAUUGAUUAAUUGAAAUUUUGAGAUUUUUCUCUUCAAAUUGUCUUGGAUGAUUACGACAAUGUAAGUUAGGUACAUUCAUCAAAUUCUUAAAGUUAGAUUUGAUGAGAUUGAAUAGUUACAUUGUGUGAAUCAUUGGCAGAUAAUUUAAGAUGAAUUGAAUAUAUGAUUUGAAUUGAUCUCUUAGAUUAAACGACCUAAUUUGAAGAGAAAUUAGAUCUAAACCUAAAGUCAAAUCAAAAAUCGGUUUAGAUGAAAAUUUAGGUUUUCAAUCUAACUUGAUGAAAAUUAGAUCUCAACAUCUAUUCACCAUGGAAAUUGUUUUCUAGAAAAUCCUAACUCCGAGAAUUUUAUCUCCUAUUAAUUUUCUUUUAUUUUACAUUUUAUUUUUCUUCUCAAUUUUAGACCAUUGUCAAAUUAAUUUUUCAUCAUGAAUUUUCAAAUCAAUUUCACUUGAUCACAAUCAUUUCUUAUCCUUUCAUUCAAGCCUUAAUUACCGAGAAUAAUCCAUCCUAGUGGACGACACCUAAAAACCACUAUAUUACAGUAGUUUGUACUAAAAUUGUUUUUAAUCGGGUACAAUCUACUUUAGAAUAGUGAAUUAGGUUAUAAAUUUUGUUUUGAUCAAAUAAAUGACAAAAAUCUAAGCGAUCAAUUUUGUAUAUAAAAAAUAAUUUUUUUCACUUAUUCUCGAUAAAACUUAUAAUGUAAAAGUUUUCAAAAUAUUUUUUUAAUAUUUUUUCUUUAUUUUUUGAAAAAUUUUGAUAAAUAAAAUAUGAAAAUACUUUUAAAUUAUUUUUAAAAUAACCUAUUUUCACAACAACAUUUUGAAAAAAACUUUUUUUAUUUUCUCAAAAUUUGGUCAAAUAUAUUCUCUAAGUUGGAGAGUGUCUAAUAUCCUUGUAAAUGUAUUUGGACAAAGUUUUGGAUUUUUAUUAUUUACUUUUGCUUUUAACAGCAAAACUCACUUUAAAAAUCCAAAAAAUAAAAUGAGUUUGGAAAACAAAAUCCAAACUUUAAUCAAAUUUAAAUCCUUUAAUUUUCUCAUUUGUUAAAAGAAUCUCAUAUUUUAUGCCAUUGAUGAAUAAGAAAAAACUUCUUACAUCUCUUAUAAGAAUCAUCUAUCAAUAUUUGAGUAUAUUUUUUUUUAGUGAUGCAUGGUGUUAAUUGAUUGAACUAAAAUUGUAUAAUAAAACCUGUCAAUAGGGAUGACAAUUUAGACACGACACGAUAAUGCAAUUUGAAAAUGAUUGGAUUGUUAAUGUGUUUGGGUUUGCAUGUGAUUGUGUUGUGUCUUAAUAAACAUGUCUUAUUUGGGUUUUCAUUAUUCACCUUGUUUAUGAUUUAUUUGCUUAAUUGUAUCAAAAUAAUUUAUUUAAUCCAUAUAAAUUUAAUAAUUUUAUACAUUCCAAUUAUAAAAAUAAUAAAUACUUUGUUAAUUAUAAAUAUCAUAUAGUAAAAACAUUAAAUAACUAAAUAAAAUUACAUUUGAUUAGUAAGAUUAAAAAUAGUUUAUAGUUAAAAUUUUAAAUAAAAUAAUAAGUAAAUGUAAAAAUUAAAAUAUUAUCCUACUUUUUAUAUUAUGAUCAAAAUUAAAUAAUUACAUUAAUUAAGAUUAAAAAUUAAAGCAAAUGAAAAGUAUUUUAGAAUAAUAUAUUUAUAAAGUUAAAUUCCAAAAUAGGUUAAACGGGUUAUAAUCAUGUUAACUAGUUAAAAUCAUACUAAUGGAUUAUUAUGUCCGAUUUAACCCAUUUAUUAAAUGAGUUAAAUGGGUUGUAUUGAGUUACCUAUAUAAUAAAUGAGUUGUGUUUAUGUUGAAUGUUUCCGACAUGAUUAUUAAAUAAGUCAUAUUUAAAUUAAAUAAAUUUUUACUAUUUUUUUUUUACUUUGAAGACAUUGCCAUCCCUACUUGCUCACAUGCAUUUAAACAAAAAAAUCUUGUAAUUUUCUCUCCAAUCCUUAUCAUUUUUCCCAUCGGCAAGUUCCCUAUUAGGAAAAGAAAUUCCUUGUAUACAUCUCUCAUCCCCAUUCAUGGUCUUUGAAUUCAUAUUUAAAAUUUUCAAAUAUAUAUAUAUAUAUAUAUAUAUAUAUAUAUAUAUAUAUAUAUAUAUAUAUAUAUAAACUAAUAUAUUUUAUAGUGAAUAUGAUAAUUUUUAAAAAAAUAAAUAAAUAUAAAAUUAUAUAUAAAGAAAUAUAUUUAAUAUUAUAUGUAUAUGGUUUGGGUGGGUUUUGGAUAGGGAAUAGUUUCAUUUCCCUGGUCGAGGUUCCCCAUCCCUAAUCCGACUCCAUUAGGGAUGGAUUCCCCAGGGGCACAACUUGGCUGGUUUUUUAUGCCAUCCUUGCUGGAGGGUGGGUUGGGAACUGUUGCCCAAAGCAUGGCCCAUGGGCCCCAACAUUGGCAAAAUCUUGAAACCCUUUAAGAUUAAGCUUGUUAUCUGUUUAUGUAUAUGUGCCGCCAUUUAGAUUGCAGGCCUAAAAAACUUAUAUAGUUUAUGAAGACAUGACCCAACAGGCCCAUCGGGCCACUUGUAUUCCUCUUUAACUUGACACCAAAAGCGCAUUUGGUCGGGUUGAGCUUCAUAUUGUAUGCUUUCAUUAGGCAAAAUGUUUCCUCUAAGUGUAGGACGCGUUUGCUCUGGGUUUUGUUUUUUACCACAAUAUCAUCAAUAUAGACUUCUACGGUUCGGCUGAUCAAGGGUUUGAAGAUUUUUGUCAUCAACCUUUAAUAAGUGGUUCCAACAUUCUUAAGCCCAAAUGGCAUAACCCUAUAGCAGUAUAAUCUGUGCAGCAUCACGAAGGCGGUUUUCUUUUCAUCCGGUUGGAACAUCGGGAUCUGGUGGUACCCGGAGAAUGUGUCUAUGAAAGAGAGCAUCUCAUACAUGGUAGUGGACUCAACUAUCUGAUCUAUUCGAGGUAGAGGGAAGCUAUCUUUCAGGCAAGCAUCAUUCAGGUUGGUGUAAUCAACACAGACUCGCCACUUUCCUCCUUUCUUUGGAACAACCACUACAUUCGCCAACCAAUCCAGAUAUUAUACUUCCUUGAUAAACCCGAUUGUCAGCAACUUGUCCACAUUGAAUUGGAUGAUCUUUUGCUUGUCUGGAUGGAAGCGUCUGACUUUCUGGCAAACGGGUCACGAGGAAGGUAUGAUAUUGAGUCGAUGUAAGGCUACCGAUGGAUGGAUUCUGGGCAUAUCAAAGUGAGUCCAUGCGAAAACAUCCUUGUUCUACUAAAGCACUCCUUCGAGUAAUUUUAAUUCUUUUAGUGCUAGGAGAGAGCUAGCAUAGGUAACACGAUCACUGCUACCUGAGAGAUGCAAGGGUUGGAGCGAGUCUGCUGCUGACAGAUCUUUUUUCGUCAGGCUCUGUAAUUGCUAUUGCUCCUUCGUAUUUGUCAGUCUCGUGUGUGGCUCACUGUUGCUUGGGAGUCCGAAAUUGAGUACCGCUUGAUAGCACUAGCACGUAGCCAACUUACUACCAUAAAGGUCGAUUUGUCCGUCCUCGGUGAGGUAGCUUACCAUCUGAUGAUACGUAGAGGGAAUGACUUUCAUGUUGUGAAGCCACGUGCGCUCCAUGAUGGUGUUAAAAUGGGAUAAGUCCUCUACUAUCGAGAACUGCACAUUCUGGGUGAUCAUACCAACUUGGACGGGUAAUACGAUGUCACCUAAAGACGUUGUCGUUGUCCCAUUGAACCAAAUAAUAUCUGUUUUGGGUUUUCUAGGGCAAUCGGCAGGAGUCUCAUUUGUUUGUAUGACGACAUUUGCAAGAGGUCAACUGAGCUGCCCAGAUCAACCAAAAUCCUUCUUACAUCAAACCCAUUUAUCCCUAAUGUUAGAACUAGGGCGUCUUCAUGUGGUUGUAGUACUCGGUUGGGGUUUACUGGAGGGAAGGUUAUUAUCCCGUCCAUUAGGCAUGCACCUUGAUUACUACUCAAAAAGUGUUAUUUCAUAGCUUGUAAUUAACUCUUUUAAACACUUUUGAGUAGUAGUUAUUGCCUUUUAACCCAAUUAACAUGUUAAGGACCCUUGCAAUCACUUCUAAUCAAUUUGUGUUAAGUUUUGGUGUUUUGAUAGCUUUUUUAUCACCAAAGCAAUCCGAGAUUGAGGAGAGUUAUUUGGAAUCUAUGGCAAAGCAAUGGAAAGCUCAGAAACAUGAAGAACCAAAGCUUUGAAGUCCUUUGUCAUAAGCAAAUCCGGAAUGCAAGGAGGAGAAGCAAAGAGAAAUCUGCCAUGAAGCAUUCUUGAUGAUAGCCAUGUCAGCCACUUUUAGAGCACUUCCUGAAGUCUAAUUUAUGCAUGCUAUAUGUCGUUUCGAAGCUCAGGAAGUCAACAAUCCAAUGCUUCAAAUGGUGUUCAAUUUGGAGUUGAAAUGAAGGAAUUACAGCCAUUACAAGUUGAUCACUCUAAGUUGAAGGAAGAAUUUUGCACAGCGCUGCGAAAUCACCCUUUUGUUGCGAGAUGAUUUCGCAGCCUUUUUGUACAGUGCUGUGGAUUCUCCCCUGAAGUUUCCCGUCACAAUGGAAGCCGAAUACCGCAAGCUGAAAGCCAACUUCGCAGCGCUGCGAAAUCAGCCUUUUGCUGCGAAGUGAUUUCGCAGCCCUUUUUGUGCUUCUACGAAAUCUCGUAGACCUCGUUUUCACCUGCGAAAUGGUCCUUAGUGCUUCCCGAUAUUUGUGACCGACACUUUUGGAUAUUUUGCUUCAGAUUUUUGAUAACUAAAUCCUCAUUUUCUCCUUGUAACCCACCAAUUAUAGGAUUUCUUAGUUAUUAAGUUUGGCAAAGGGGUGAAUAACCUUAGAUAUUUUGUUUUGUAAUUUUCUUUAUAUAUAGCUCUCGGGAGCUUGUUCUUAUAUAGAAUUAUGUAAUCCGACGGGAUAUAGAUUUAUAAAUAUAUAGAAUAUACAGAGCCUUGCUCUGUUUUUUCUUUCUCUUUCAUUUUCAUUUUCUUGCUAAUCAAACUCUGAAGAUUUUUCCUCAGAUGAUGAGAGGCUAGGCUCUUCGUCUCUUGGAGCUAAGGUAACCGGGUAAGUUUUCCACAUGCAUAAAUUGGAAGUUUUGUUGUUUUAGUUUUUAAUGAAGAGAAAGUGUGACCCGUUAAUGGUUUUUAUCUUUUUAGUUAACUUAAAACGCCUUUAAUUCACCUGAGCCAACACUUGGUAAGGCAAGUGAUCUCCGUCCAUGGAGAUGCACUAGUUUAUCUCUUGCGAGCUUUUGGUAGGUGGUUUGAAGGUAGGAUUUUCUAGAAUAGCCAACACUUGUUAAGAUUUUGGACUCCAAUGAGACAUCCAUUAGUUAUCUCUUGCGAGCUUUUGAUGGGUAAUCCAAGGUUAAAGAUCACCUUGAAUGACAAAUGCUAGGUGAGAGGCACGAGUCAUUGCAAGGUGCAUCAAUGAGAGGGAUUUAGUGUUUGAACCCAUUAAUGGGAAGUAUCUGUACAACACUGGUUAGAGAAUUAACUACAUGUUAAUUCUCUAAUGCGAGGAAAAGAAACAAGUGACCAGAACUCUCCUUUUUGUAUGAGGAAUCUGAGCCUAGUGAUCUGAAACUCCAAGAAACACUUUUCUUUGUAAGUAAAAUCAGUUGCUAUUUUUGGUUAGUUUAAAACCAAACUUUUUUCAUUCAAACAUCUUUAUGUUUUCUUUUAAAGCUAACCUUGAAAUGAAAAGGCACCAAUUCAGCUUUGAAUUAAUAUCAUUUGCAAAGUGAAAACCCAUCCCAGUGAACGAUCCUAGAGCCACUAUGCUAUAAUAGCUUUGUCUUUGCUAUCCUAGUAAAUGGUGUAAUAGGUUAUAAAUUUUGUUGAUUACUCCCUCAAUCAAGGAGCACCAGCUGGACACGAAUCAACUGAGACACCAAUUGGGCAUGAAUCACACCUUCACUCGGCAAACUAUGUUGGAUAGAGCUAACCUACUCCCUCACGAAAGCCACUCGUAGCAAUCUUUGUCUCUUUUGUUUGGAAUUGUAUUUUUCGUCAACGAGACCCCCAUGAAUGUAGUUGAUGAUAGCUCUAAGAGCUUCCGAAGUUGUGGACACUUGGAUAGCCAAAUCCCGGGUGGUUUCCCUUUGUCCUUCGAUUGAGCGGAUGUAUCAUUUUAAGUGCUUGGCCUUAAUUAGUCUUUCCACUAAGUAGUGGAAACUUCUGCAUUGUUUCGUGGUGUGGCCAUGAUCUUUGUGAUAGGCACACUUCCUGUUCUAAUCCCGUUUCGUCGAAUCUGUCUUAAUUGACUCUGGCCAUCUAAAAUCAGACAGAUCACAAAUCAUGGGAAGGAGUUUGUCGUAUGAAAUGCUAAGGGGGGUCAGACUAGCUUGGCUUGGCUGCUGCUGGUCGUCUCGCUUCUUGCUGACUUGCCUUAGUUGGUUUGAGAGCUUAGAAUUUUCGGCAUGAUCGUUCCUGGCGGAUCGACGAGUGACCAGGACCUGCUGUGUAGUCUUACAAACAUCGUCUUCAAGAUGGAGUACUUGUUUACUCGUUUGAAUAGGUCAUCCAUUGUCGCUGAUAGUUUCUUAACGAGAGAUUCGAAGAAAUGCGUACUCGGACAAAUGCUUCUUUUGAAGAUUUGUAGGAUGACGUCCAUGCUACAAGACUCUACUUGGAGCACGACCUGUCCGAACAGUUUCACAAACUCCCUCAAUGAUUCAUUUUCCUACAUUUUUAUGUUUUGCGGGGUACUUAUGUUCUAUUUGUCAUGCCGAGCAUAGGUAGUGUCCCACAAAGGCUUCUGAUAGAUCCUAGAAAUUACUCACAAAAUUCUUUAGGAGAUGGUGGAACUACGAAAGGGCCUAGCCAUGUAAGCUAGUUGGAAAGACUUUGCAUAAUAGCACAUCGUUCCCUAUGUUGAGGGUCAUGAGCUGCCUAUAAUGCAUGAUAUGAUCAAACAGAUCACUUGUUUCGUCAUAUGUCAUGAAUUUUGGUACCAUGAACCCUCUUGGGGGCUAGUAGUUGAUGAUGUAAAGGCUAAAAAGCAUGGAGAGCAUGUCACCCAAUCGUCUACUGACAGAGCCAAGCAGUCCUCGUUCUGUCAGAGCCCCUACUUGUUGUUAUGCUGGUGGACGAGAAGGCCAUUCUAGCAUGACCAUUGUAAUCGAGAAACCAAGGCAGGCUUCCUGGGUCGCUGCUACACAUGGUUUCCCUUCCAUGCCAGGUGUCUGAGGUCUUAGCCGAGCUCACAUUGUGUCUGAUAGUUGUGACCUUCUAUCACACCUCUUUUUUGUGGAGAUGUGGGUAGAGUCAGAGCUUUCAUCUAACAGUGCUUGGCAAGUUGGUAGAAACUUUUCUUUAGGUCGUAUCUCCUGGCUACCAGAGAUGAACUUUGCGUCCCUAAGAAAUGACAUUUUUUCGUUUUGUUUGGAGUUUGUUCACUGGCUCUUAGGCUGUCGGCUACGAGGGGGGCUUGACGAAGACACCUGGAUGCGUAACACUUCAAUUUCUUCUCUAAGUCUCCUUGUCUCACAGAGCAAGGACUGUACCUGUCGUUUGCUCUCUUGUUGGCGUCUUUCCAUGUUUUCACACUAGUCGAAGUAGCCAUCGCUACCCAUGGCUGAUGAUCGGCUCCUUGAGGGCGUCGACAUUCUUAACAUUUCCCACAAAUAGCACCAAUGUUGAUGCGAGGUUAACUGGAGUCAGAUCCGCCUUAUGUUGUGCCACUGAGAGCUUUUACCCAGCAACAAGGGACUAAGUGAGCUUUUUCCCUACACAAAGGAUGUCCGGACAAGGUGUCUGAGCACGCCCCUCUGAAGCUUAAGUCAGACACAGGUAGGUUAGAGCUUAUAGGGAGAAAAUGAAUAAACUAGCUUAGGUGUGCAUACCUGGGUUAUGCUUUAGGAAGACUUUUUAUAGUGCUCAAGAGAAAGUUAAUGUAGUGCUGAGUAGAUACUUUGACCUUCACUGUAAUAAUGGUUAUCCUGCAGGUGGCAGAGCAAUCAUUGCAGUUUAGGGCAACUAGCAAGUUCCAUCAAAUGAUGUGUCAUAAUGUAGCUGCCCAUCAUUUCAACCUUCUGGAGAUAUGAGGCAAUGUGUGAUAAUUUGUUGACAUCAAGGAUGAAAAUAUCGGUAAUUACGGAUAUAUCGAUAUUUCGAUUUUACGGAUAUAUCGAUAUUUCGAUUUUACGGAUAUAUCGGAAAUAUAUCGAUGGAUAUUUUGAUAUAAAAUAUUAGUAGACCUAAAAUUGACCAAAACUUAUAAAAAUAUAAAAUAAAACUUUUAGAAAUGAAAUUAAAAUAUAAUAGAUAUUUUAAAAUUAUUUUAUUAAAUAAAUUAAUGUAUAUAUAAUAUUGUACGUGUCAAUAAAAAAAUAUAAAUUUGAUAAGUGUAUAUUGAUUAUUAAAUUAUAUUAAAUAUUAUUUGAUCAUUAUAUUGUGAUAUUUGAUUAUAAUAUAUUUCGAUGGAUAUUUUAACACAAAAUAUCGGUAAAUCUAAAAUUGAUCAAAACUUAUAAAAAUAUAUUAAAAAAAACUUUUAAAAAUAAAAUUAAAAACAUAAUAGACAUUUUAAAGUUAUUUUUUCGAAUAAAUUGAUAUAUAUAUAUAUAUAUAUAUAUAUAUAUAUAUAUAUAUAUAAUAUUGUACAUGUUAAUAAAAAAUAUAAAUUUGAUAAGUGUAUAUUGAUUAUUGAAUUAUAUAAAAUAUUAUUUGAUGAUAAUAUUGUGAUUAUAAUAUGUUUAAUUUUAAAAUCUGUUUAAUAUUAAAAUAGUGAUAUAUUAUAAAAUAAAUGAUAAUAAAUAUAUAAAAUAUUAAUAUAUUAAUAAUAUUAAAAACUCUAUGAAUAAAAUUAUGAUAUUUUUUACUAAUCAAUUAAAUGAAAAUUUUUCAUUUAAUUAUAAAAUAGUCAUAAUUAAUUUGUUAUUUAAAGUGUUUUUUUAAUAUUUUAUUUAUAUUCUAAGUUUUAAUAUAUAUUUCUUUAGAGUGUCAUAUUUAUCAAAGAGCAUGUUUGCCCUAGUGGAACUGGGCCUGACAUAGAAAUCUUUUGUUGGGGGUUCGAAUCCCCCCAACAGCAGGAAGAAAAAAAGCUUAAUUUUGACCGUUGACCGCCUGUGUUGACCGAGCGUUGACCGGCGAUAUAUCUCUGCUGCACCCACCGACACACCGAUAUUUCGCCGAAAUAUCGCCUAAUUCCAAAGGGAAUGAUUACACGUAGCAAGGGAGUUCCGAGCACUGUGGCAAUUAUCUGGACAAUGCUGAGGGAAGUGACGCAUGGACUGACACGUGGAAGGUCCCUACAAUUACUACUCCUCAUUCACGUCUACCAAACAGGCCUUUGGGAUGAAAAUUAUAUACGUCAAUUCCAAGUUUCCAACCCAACACAAUUAUAUUAUUCACCUAAAUCACACUAAACCCAAUUUCCAUUUUUUUGGUGCAUCCAACCUGGAAUAUGUACAUUUUAAUGUAAUUCCUGCACAAAUGAGAAAAGUGAAUAAGCCAUCUUCCUCGACAUUCUUCUUGUAAAUUGAAGAGCAAGAUUUAUUUAUUUAUUUAUUUAUUUGCAUUUUAAAAACCAAUGUGAAAUUUGUCUUUUGAUUUUGAGCAUCCAUGAUGCCGAUAUGUACAUUUCAAUUACCACAUGAAGCAGGAAGUUCAAUCUUAAAUACCGAACAUCAAGCAGAAACCACUACACCCAGUAGAUGUAGAUUUUAAUAUUCAAUGGGUUCAUUCCAAUUGCCACAUUAUUUUCAGCAACCAGAACUCAAAAAAAGCCACACAAAUAACACGAUUAUAAGGAUAUGGGGGAUCGGAUACCUUAUUUUAUUUCCCAGUAUAAUUUUGAGACAAUCAAAUUCUGAGCUGCAGAGUCUGAAAUCCAAUAAAGGAGCUUUGGAGUCUAUGGUGGUGUACCGGGAUGAACCAUCACCUUCCAAAUUAAAAUUCUAGGGCUAUACCACAAACAGAAUUCUGAGAUGUAUUGGGUAUUACAUGAUGAAUAACCCAAGAAAACUAGUACCGUAGAAGAGCUUCAAAGGGAAGAGAAAAUGGGAACACCCGGCAGGGUUGCGCCUGCAUCGACAUUGAAAACGUUACCUGAUAUGUAUCGUGAAGAAUCAUGAAUCAAGUAUCGCACCAGGGAUGUCAAUGCAGGGUCCGAUGUUCCAUAGGCCCGCAAGGGGCAUGUUCUCUGAACCACAGUGUUGAGCCAGUCUUUUUGCAUAAGGCCCGCAGUUAUCUCCGAUUUGAAUAUUCCAGGUGCUAUUGCAUUCGCUCUAAUAUUGUAUGCCCCCAAUUCCAAAGCCAUUACCUGGAAUUGUUAUUAUUUGGAAAAAAAAUAAAUAAAUAAUCAUUCUUCAGUGCCAGACUCAGAUGAGUGUGUAGGAAUAAAGGUUCUACAACAUUUUUGCAUGGAAAAACAGUUGAAGAUGGCAGGAAAUAUACAAUAAAAUGUCGAAUCGAAAUAAGUAUAAUGCUAUAUAAACACAAGCCCUUAACCAGAUUUACAGAAAAUGACUUACAUCUUGGAUAGACAAACUGUACGUAUCAUGCAAAAGCGGAGAAUAAUAUUGGGAUUUUUUGCAUGGGAAGCAAGGUGAGAAGAAUAUUGACUUUUUGUACAUUGAUUUUUAUCUUCUCUUUUUAUACAUUUUAUAUACUCCUCAUGCUUAUUAAAAAAAAAAAAAGACAAAAAUAAUAUUAAAAAUUAAAAAUAAAAUAACAAGACAAGCAUAAUAUAGUGAACAUAAACAUUUGACUACAUUUUCACAAUAUAUUUAAAUCUAACGUUGAAUUUCCUAACUCACCUUUGUUUGCCAGAAUAUAUUAGAAACAAAUUUAAAACAUGUCAGAGAUAUUACCUUUGUCAUGGCGCUCAAGCCUGACUUGGAAGACACAUAGGCUACUGCUCCAGGUGACUGUCCCCGAUUAAGAGAAACAAUGGAAGAAAUAUUGAUGAUUGAUCCUCCAUUCUUGGCAUCCCUCAUGCGCAUACCGACAUAUUUUGACACCAACCAUGAUCCCGUCAAGUUUGUCUUCAGAGUAUUGUUCCAUUCCUCCUCAGAUAUAUCCAGAGGAGAGUUCACAUUGCCUAAGGCACACAGGGCACAGGGCAUGGGUUAAAUACAUCUACCACGCAUUACGUUCACAAAUAUUAGCAGAACACCAGAGAUAAAUUAAAUGAGUAAUAUUGAUGAGAAAAAUAUAUGUGAUUGACUCGGUAUAGAUACCCAGUUGACUUGGUAUAGAUACCCAGUUGACUCGCUGAUUAGUUUCAAAUUUCAGUUAGAACUGAAUGAAAUGAAACGUGCGCUAGAAUUGACAGUAUGAGAAAAACAAGGUUUCCAAAAGUCAGCUGCAAAACGGGAAAUUCAGGAUACAGGAAUAUCAGGAUCGUGCAAAAUCAAAAUUUACCUCUAAUGCCCGCAUUAUUUAGCAAA